AUCUACACACUCCCCUGUGUGUGGCCCAAGUAGAUCUGCAGGGAAGUAUGGUAUGUUCCUGUGGCAGGAAAGUUCACACCGCUGUUCACAGCUACUCGGGCAUUUUAGUCCUGAGAGGGGCAGGAGCCAUCCCUCUAGGGCACCCACAGGUGGGCCAUGCAUUGCCACCUGCCAUACCUGCAUCAGCACCCCAACUCCUAGUCCCAGCCUGAUUAUACAAUGCACCAUGUGCCAACACUCCAUACAAAUGCUGGAAACACAAACAGCCAACUGCCCCACAGCCACCUGGACCCACAUAUCCCUCCCCCCCCCCCCGCCUCCUUAGGGGCACCCACAGGUGGGCCAUGCAUUGCCACCUGCCAUACCUGCAUCGGCACCCCAACUCCUAGUCCCAGCCUGAUUAUACAAUGCACCAUGUGCCAACACUCCAUACAAAUGCUGGAAACACAAACAGCCAACUGCCCCACAGCCACGUGGACCCACAUAUCCCUCCCCCCCCCGCCCGCCUCCUUAGGGGCACCAUCAGAUGGGCCAUGCAUUGCCACCUGCCAUACCUGCAUUGGCACCCCAACUCCUAGUCCCAGCCUGAUUAUUCAAUGCACCAUGUGCCAACACUCCAUACAAAUGCUGGAAACACAAACAGCCAACUGCCCCACAGCCACCUGGACCCACAUAUCCCUCCCCCCCCCGCCUCCUUAGGGGCACCCACAGGUGGGCCAUGCAUUGCCACCUGCCAUACCUGCAUCAGCACCCCAACUCCUAGUCCCAGCCUGAUUAUACAAUGCACCAUGUGCCAACACUCCAUACAAAUGCUGGAAACACAAACAGCCUACUGCCCCACAGCCACCUGGACCCACAUAUCCCUCCCCCCCCGCCUCCUUAGGGGCACCCACAGGUGGGCCAUGCAUUGCCACCUGCCAUACCUGCAUCGGCACCCCAACUCCUAGUCCCAGCCUGAUUAUUCAAUGCACCAUGUGCCAACACUCCAUACACAUGCUGGAAACACAAACAGCCAACUGCCCCACA
RNAcentral lists this long non-coding RNA (1026 nucleotides) under Chlamydomonas reinhardtii. RNAcentral's name for it is "long non-coding RNA (CREI_LNC000442)". Lineage: Eukaryota; Viridiplantae; Chlorophyta; Chlorophyceae; Chlamydomonadales; Chlamydomonadaceae. The record is from RNAcentral.